Molecule: non-coding RNA, 88 nt
Organism: Mycena albidolilacea
Lineage: Eukaryota; Fungi; Basidiomycota; Agaricomycetes; Agaricales; Mycenaceae
Source: the annotation of a GenBank genome assembly
GGUUGCAUGGCCUAGUGGUUAUGGUGCUUUCUCUCUGAUUUCCUCGGUUUUGGAGAGGUCACUCGUUCGAGUCCCCUGGUUGGCACUU